This 814-nucleotide ribosomal RNA is filed under the name uncultured bacterium. Its description in RNAcentral is "bacterial SSU rRNA". It matches the Rfam family "Bacterial small subunit ribosomal RNA", at positions 8 to 812 of the family's 1533-position model. The record is from RNAcentral.
AGAGUUUGAUCCUGGCUCAGGAUGAACGCUAGCUACAGGCUUAACACAUGCAAGUCGAGGGGCAGCAUGAACUUAGCUUGCUAAGUUUGAUGGCGACCGGCGCACGGGUGAGUAACACGUAUCCAACCUGCCGAUGACUCGGGGAUAGCCUUUCGAAAGAAAGAUUAAUACCCGAUGGCAUAGUUCUUCCGCAUGGUAGAACUAUUAAAGAAUUUCGGUCAUCGAUGGGGAUGCGUUCCAUUAGCUUGUUGGCGGGGUAACGGCCCACCAAGGCAUCGAUGGAUAGGGGUUCUGAGAGGAAGGUCCCCCACAUUGGAACUGAGACACGGUCCAAACUCCUACGGGAGGCAGCAGUGAGGAAUAUUGGUCAAUGGGCGCUAGCCUGAACCAGCCAAGUAGCGUGAAGGAUGACUGCCCUAUGGGUUGUAAACUUCUUUUAUAUGGGAAUAAAGUGCAGUAUGUAUACUGCUUUGCAUGUACCUUAUGAAUAAGGAUCGGCUAACUCCGUGCCAGCAGCCGCGGUAAUACGGAGGAUCCGAGCGUUAUCCGGAUUUAUUGGGUUUAAAGGGAGCGUAGGCGGGUUGUUAAGUCAGUUGUGAAAGUUUGCGGCUCAACCGUAAAAUUGCAGUUGAUACUGGCAUCCUUGAGUACAGUAGAGGUAGGCGGAAUUCGUGGUGUAGCGGUGAAAUGCUUAGAUAUCACGAAGAACUCCGAUUGCGAAGGCAGCCUGCUGGACUGUAACUGACGCUGAUGCUCGAAAGUGUGGGUAUCAAACAGGAUUAGAUACCCUGGUAGUCCACACAGUAAACGAUGA